UUAUUUUUCUUGUUUGCUCUGAUAUGUAUGUCUUAAGCAACUGUUUUUUUGAACUGCUAGAGGAAAUCAUUUUGAACCUUUGGCCUGGUGAUAUCUCAUGGAUCCAAUAUGUUUCACCCAAUUAAAAUUCUGAUCAUGAAGAUAAGUGACGUUGAAUGUUUGUGAAUGCUAGCCCGAUGAUAGCUUGACAUGUCGGCAAAUUUUGUUAUCAGUCUAUGUUAAUUACCCCUUGAAGCAUCAUGGGUUGUAUGUUUCCUGUUGUCAUUGCCUUCGACGCACAAUGACUGCUG
This 290-nucleotide long non-coding RNA is filed under the name Musa acuminata (dwarf banana). RNAcentral's name for it is "long non-coding RNA (MACU_LNC006113)". Lineage: Eukaryota; Viridiplantae; Streptophyta; Magnoliopsida; Zingiberales; Musaceae. The record is from RNAcentral.